CCCUUAGAUGUUCUGGGCCGCACGCGCGCUACACUGUUCGACGCAGCGAGUCUUAACCUUGACCGAAAGGUUUGGGUAAUCUUCAGCAAAGUCGAACGUGAUGGGGAUCGAUCAUUGCAAUUAUUGAUCGUGAGCGAGGAAUUCCUAGUAAGUGCAAGUCAUCAGCUUGCGCUGAUUACGUCCCUGCCCUUUGUACACACCGCCCGUCGCUACUACCGAUUGAAUGGUUUAGUGAGAUCUCUGGAUUGACGCUGGCUAGGGGGCGACCCUUGGCCAGACUGCUCGAGAAACUGCUCAAACUUGAUCAUUUAGAGGAAGUAAAAGUCGUAACA
This 332-nucleotide ribosomal RNA is filed under the name uncultured eukaryote. Its description in RNAcentral is "partial 18S ribosomal RNA". It matches the Rfam family "Eukaryotic small subunit ribosomal RNA", at positions 1470 to 1796 of the family's 1831-position model. The record is from RNAcentral.